Molecule: unclassified non-coding RNA, 258 nt
Filed under: Hevea brasiliensis (rubber tree)
Lineage: Eukaryota; Viridiplantae; Streptophyta; Magnoliopsida; Malpighiales; Euphorbiaceae
Source: RNAcentral
UUUUUUUUUUGUUCAAAUUCUUUCUUUCUUUCUUUUGAAUUUUUUUUUCUGCUUUUCUUUUUUGUCCCCUUCAAAUGUUCUUUUAUUCCUUUUUCUUUUCACUCUUUUUUUCAGUAAAUUUAUCAUAUUUUCCACUCGUUUUGUUUUCAUUUCUUUUGUCUAUUAACAUGCAGGACUUUUUUAAUCUCUCAUAAUACAAGCUUAUUUAACACAAAAAUGACUGGCCAACCCCCAAAAGACAGUACAACUAUUCCAGCG